This 431-nucleotide ribosomal RNA is filed under the name uncultured Bacilli bacterium. RNAcentral describes it as "bacterial SSU rRNA". It matches the Rfam family "Bacterial small subunit ribosomal RNA", at positions 63 to 476 of the family's 1533-position model. The record is from RNAcentral. Lineage: Bacteria; Bacillati; Bacillota; Bacilli.
AGAACGCUGAAGGAGGAGCUUGCUUCUCCGGAAUGAGUUGCGAACGGGGUGAGUAACGCGUAGGUAACCUGCCUGGUAGCGGGGGAUAACUAUUGGAAACGAUAGCUAAUACCGCAUAAGAGUAGAUGUUGCAUGACAUUUGCUUAAAAGGUGCAAUUGCAUCACUACCAGAUGGACCUGCGUUGUAUUAGCUAGUUGGUGGGGUAACGGCUCACCAAGGCGACGAUACAUAGCCGACCUGAGAGGGUGAUCGGCCACACUGGGACUGAGACACGGCCCAGACUCCUACGGGAGGCAGCAGUAGGGAAUCUUCGGCAAUGGACGGAAGUCUGACCGAGCAACGCCGCGUGAGUGAAGAAGGUUUUCGGAUCGUAAAGCUCUGUUGUAAGAGAAGAACGAGUGUGAGAGUGGAAAGUUCACACUGUGACGGU